CCUGCUCCCUGCAUUUCUGGCUGAUUUCCACCUGGCCUGGAAGGGCGGGGCCCUGUCUCUCUCUAGCUACAAAAGCAGCAGCUGCUGAAGGGGCCAGAGACCAUCUACCUGUUUCCAGAUUUUCAGGAAGCUGUCCCAAGAGCCGGUAGCCACAGCCAUACCAUCUGCAGUUACUCCCAAGCAGCUCACCCGGUUGUCAUGUCCAGACAGGAUUCCUGAAGGAGAGUCCCAGAUGUUGCAGUUGAAGUCAUCAUAUCCAGCCAGUAGGAGGCGCCCACUGCGGGAGAAUGCAACUGAGCUCUGGUGAUGAUGGUCUUGGCCACUUGAGGAAAACAUACAUUGAUGGCAUUGAUAUCGGACUCAUGUCCUGAGAACGUCUGGCGGCAGGUGCCCUCACGGACAUCCCACAGCUUGGCAGUGGCAUCGCAAGCUCCAGAGAUGAAGAGAUUGAAGUCUGGGGAAACGGCCAGGCUCAUGCAAUCCCCAGUGUGACCCAAGAACACGGUCUUCUGCUGUCCUGUCUCAAUGUCCCAGAGGGCGCUGUAGUGAGAGAAGAGAGAGGAAUGCAGCGCUGUCACUGUCCUUCUGAUCACAGGCUCACUUAGUCUCCAGGAACUUUCCAUUGGGGUCCCAAUUUAGCCCCCAACUUAAACUCCUCUCUUACUGUGUCCCUCACCCACUUUGAUAUAACUUUAUAGGAAACCUGUAAUUGCAAAUCAAUGGACUAGGAACCUUAAAGAUCGGCUGGUUCACACUGACCCACAUAUUUAGGUCUCAGUUCAACAGCCUCCUUUGUCUGGACUCGAGCAUUGGCCCUCAUGGGCACCAUCUGUGUGGUGGCCAUUGGAUCUACAGCAAAUACACCGACAGGAUGCAUUCGUUCAACAAUUCUGUCAACUACAGGGUGUAUAUAUAGUUUUUCUAAAAAAACCUUUUACCACUUGCAGCAGCAGUCAUCUGCCCUAUGCCAUCAAAUGCUUAUAUGGAAAAAAAGAUGAAGGGUUUGUCCAUACUGGAGUUUAAUAUGGAUUUGAAACUGCGUGUUUCUGUAGCGCGUGCGUGUGUGUGUGUGAGAGAGAGAUGUCUACAUUAUGUCCAAGUGGCAGCCUCCCCACACACUAAAUUUGGCAUGUUACCUGACUGUGCACACUGAAAUGCAUUAUGUUGCUGGGCUUUUGUUUUACUUGCGUGGUGACAUUUUGCUGGGUGCUGACUAUUGCCACACCCCCUACCUCCAUCUUGUUUGCAUCCACUCAGAAGAAAGGAUGCAGCCUGCCCUUUUCCACUGCUUGUUGCUGAAGGCAUGUUCACAGUAUUUUUAUCUUUAUUUCAUAUUUAUUUAGUAUGAGAUUAUGAGACAUAAUGUUAUUCCAUUUCCUGUGUAUAUACGUAUUUCAUAUAUUUAUAGCGCUCCUGAAGGAGGAUUAUUCUGAAACACAUUCGGCUUGAAAUAAUUUUUUCUUCAGGCGCCUGCAGUUCCUGCCUUUCUCCCACGGAUGGAUAGAUACAGUGAAGACUGUUGGCUCUGAUGUCAGCGGGGCAGCCAA
Rhineura floridana is the source of this 1547-nucleotide long non-coding RNA. RefSeq lists it as uncharacterized. NCBI's taxonomy places the organism in Eukaryota, Metazoa, Chordata, Lepidosauria, Squamata, Rhineuridae. The record is from RefSeq and is a predicted model, not a curated record. The transcript is spliced from 4 exons.